AUGAUCAGCAUUGUUUCCAUGGUGGCUGUGUUGCCGUUUCUAUGGUGAGUGUUGUUCCCAUGGUGAUCUGGCACAAGAAGAGGAAAACAGUGGGAUGGAAAUCAGAAGAAUCUGGAGACUGCUGAUCAUAACCCAGCAUUAGUUCAUCCUGGGAAUUGAAAAUGAGGGUAAAACAAGAAGGGGGAAGAGAAGGAGAGCAACAACUUCCCCUCUGGUAGCGAAGGCUUCUCCUAUCCAUGAAGCAUCCAUCCAUCAUCCAGUCUGACCCACAGCUGAGUCAACAAGCCUCCUGGACCUGGCAGCUAUCCUCAGCCAACCACAGCCAGCAGCCCCAGUCCCAAUCUUCUCCAGCUGCCACCUGCCUCCCUACUUGUCGGCCAAAACACUGCUGCCCAUGCCUGCCUGCCCUGAAGUCAUCCUUCUCCCCCGUCCCUGAGCCUUCCUUUAACCAUAUUUGGGGUUGCCACCACAUUGACUUAAUGCCUUCUGCUCUGGUGGAAUGGAACCACUAGAAGACUUUUAAAAUAAUAUUAUUUCUCCAAAAACAGAUAAACAACUUUUUCCAUAUCCAAACAGGCUGCAAGCACAAUCAGCUGCAUUAGCAUGUAAAGGAACAGAAAUUUCUUUCACUAGGCACAUUACUAAAAGUUACUAAAAUCAUGUCUAUUUCCUGUAUUUUAGGGUAAUCAUCAUACCCUGUGUUCCCAGCCAUAAGAUGCCCUGCCAGAACCUAUCCGGCUUGUGUGUCCUAAUUGUAAAAAUGCCAAUUUGAUCUCAAGAAAUCUGAUUUCAUGUGUCUACAUUUUCGAAUUCCAAACUGUUUUACAAAUAGGUGAAGAUAGCUGGGAUUAGUCUUUGACAGAGGAUACCAUUGGGUGUUAUUGCAGGAUAGGGUUGUAAGUAAGAUAAGGGAAAGAAUUAUCUUUUUAAUGAUUUUGUAGAAGAGGGAAUUUCAGCAAGGUAUUGCUUGCUUAAUUAAAAUUACAAAUUCAAAAUCACCUAUAUUAUUAAAACACAAGUUAAAACUACCUAAAACACCACACUGAAAUAAAGAAGCACCAAUAUGUUGAAAAGGCAAGCUCAUCUGGUCAUAACGGAUAUCAGAUACAGUCAUCAGCAACUGAUUUGAAUGGGCCUUAUACUAAACACAUAGCUUUGAUGACUGAGACCCCCGCCUUUAAAUUCAUCUGACUGCGGAGGGUUCCACAGAUCCGGAUCAUCAACCGAAGGAAAAACGCGCAGACCACAACGAAUUAUUAUUAAUUUCUUUUAUCACUCCCCCCCCCAGUCCUAACAUUGUAACUAAUCCCCCAAUAAAAGUAUCCUUUCUUUUAACUUGAAGCUCUCUCCAGUGGUUAUUUUGUAUCCCUUUUUCUGGCCUCUCUGCAUGCAAAACCUUUCUCCUAUCUUCUACUAACCCAGCCGCCGUUCAACUCUGGCGGGAAGCCUCCUGAGCUCUCCCUGCCAUUGCGUAACAUGGUGAACGGAACAACUUGACCCAUAACUUUACCAAAAAUACUCCAAGCAUGCCCAUCUUUUAUAUCUAACACUUUUGGAAGCCCCUGGUUCCGGGACCACCAACAGCGCCAGAAUCGGUCCAGUUUAAAACUUCGGAUCAGCUGAUUGUCAGAAAGCCGGCUCCGAUCGCUCUUUUACAGCCGCAGCCGCUUCCCGGCUCCCACGGCUGACGGAUUGCCUUUGCAGGGACACAAGCUUCUCCCAGGGCUGCUGGUAGUGGACUGCCAUCUCCCCUGGAAGGGAAAUGUAGUUUCCUCAAGGACCAGCUGUGAUCUCUACUGCGGAAAGAGCUCCCGGAUGAAUUUCUCCUAUUCAUUCAUCUUCAUUUUUAUGAAUGACCGGACUUCUCAUUCAUAUACAAGAACAGAGAUCAACAGGAAAUCUUUCACUUUAUUAUUUUUAUGAACUUCCAAUUGCCUGAGCUGUUUAUGAACUUUUCAUGAAUUGUAUGCUUAUAUGUUUAUGAAAUAUUGGAAUCAAUUCUUUAUUAACUGUUUAGCCAAAUGUAAUUUGGUCUAUAGAUCCCCUGGAAGAUUCCCAAAUUCAUAUAUUUCCCCUUUUUAUAUAUUAUAUUACAAAAAAAGGAAACCGGGUUUACUCUCCGCUUUAAAGCCGGAGAGAACCUGAAUUUCAUCCCGGUCCCCAGGAAACCCGCAAUAUGGCCAGAUUGUUUACCCACACCUCCCCCCCAGCCUAUACUUCCACUCAGAACUCACUCAAUUUCACAUCAAAAAUCACCCUUUUCCAUAUUUAUGCCUAUAAUCGCCUAGUCUUUAAAAUACAACCAGCAGAAACCAUUUUUGACCAUUUUUCCUCAGCUCAUCAGCUGAUUGUCAGACAGCGCUCUUUGUGUAAAUAGCCUCCCGAUCAGCGCUAUUAGCGCAGGGAGGGAAAAUGAGCUAUAAGUGUUAAUAUUUAAUACUUUUUUUGGUAGUUUCGGGGUGAAAUGGCUAUAAUAUGAUUCUCUGUAUUCCCUAGUAUAUUUCAAUCAAAGAAGGCACAGUCUGAACUCUAGCUGACCCGGAAAUCCCUGCCUUUCCUCACCCUAGAUUCUGGGCUUCGCACAAAAGAGGAUAAACUGUCACCAUGAAAUCUUAUCUAUUUUGCAUCUGCAUGACCCAUAGCUAGAGAUUGUCACCUUAGAUCGGAGCAGCCCCAUGGGUGAUUGUAUCUCAUAUGGUAAUGUUGACCACAAUCCCAUCCUGGACCCCUGGGGAGCCAAAGGAAGACUCCCCACUGGUCCUGUCUCCGUAAUCCCAUAGUGUCAAUAUAAACUGACAUCUCCACCAUACCUCAAGGUAUUCAUGAACUGUGUACGUGCAUAAAGGACCCUGGACAUCCCAAAUGACCUUAUUCAAAAAACAGCAAUAAUCUUAAGAUUAUCCUGGAAGGCGCUAGCCUUGGGUGAUUGCUUUGCAUGAGAUAACUCCAAUGAUUCAUUCACCAGAACCCAUUGUCUAGCUGACUCCCGCCUUCCCCAACCUGAUUGGCCCUGGCAGAGGCGAGGGUUGCUCCUCAUUGGCUCAGGGCACAGAGCGGGAAGCCCAACUCCCGCCUAGUGCGGCGCCCUUGCCCAAUCAGCAGCCAGAUGAGCGGAGGGACGGGGCGGGAAGUUCAAACAGACUUCAAACUUGAAAAUGUAUAAAAUGGCUUUAUUUCUCAAUGUAAAAUUACAUCUUGCAUGUCGAUCUAUCGCUGCUGAAUGUCCGUUCAGCUGAAUCGCUAAAUAAACACUUUGGCAGUUUUUUUCCUUCAA
Anolis carolinensis (green anole) is the source of this 3274-nucleotide long non-coding RNA. RefSeq lists it as uncharacterized. The record is from RefSeq and is a predicted model, not a curated record. Lineage: Eukaryota; Metazoa; Chordata; Lepidosauria; Squamata; Anolidae. The transcript has 2 exons.